RNAcentral lists this long non-coding RNA (563 nucleotides) under Equus caballus (horse). RNAcentral's name for it is "lncRNA (ENSECAG00000042135.2)". Lineage: Eukaryota; Metazoa; Chordata; Mammalia; Perissodactyla; Equidae. The record is from RNAcentral.
CUCCUCUCCAUCUCCCAUUGCAUUGUGUCUGACUGAUUUUCAGAGCACCUUCGCUGUUUCCCCCUUCUCUUUCCCUUUCUGUAAAAUAUCUAGACAGGAAGGAGGUGGCUGCAGAGGCUGAACAAACAAUCUCAUAUUCUGCCUGCAAUGUCAUCGUUUCUUUCCCCCAUUUUAGGGGGCUGAAGUUGCCCAGGAAGGGGAUGCAGAGGAGCUGGAAAGGAAGGGGGGAGCUCUCCAGUGGCAGCUGCGGUCAGGGGCAGGGACUGCCGCCAGAUGUGCCUGCCUCUCUGGACUUUGAUGCGAAAGGGGCAGCAGGAGGAAAUAUUGGGAGACAAAAGCCCCGGUUUAAAUGAUCAUUUUCUUUAUUUAACAUGGCAGCAGACACUCUGCGUAAGAUCAUCAUGCCGAACAUAAACUGGACUUUCCCACUUGCCUGGCAGGAGUGAGACAGAUCACUGUGUGCUAAAUGAGCAUCUGAGGGUGUGUAAUUCAAGAGGACUGAAAGACUGAUCCCCUGAAGGCCGCAAGUAUAAAAAAGCUACAUGGUCAGCCCUCAGCCAAGG